RNAcentral lists this non-coding RNA (31 nucleotides) under Homo sapiens (human). The record is from RNAcentral. Lineage: Eukaryota; Metazoa; Chordata; Mammalia; Primates; Hominidae.
AGAAGCACUGCAAUCUUAUUUCAAGGGCUUC